This is a long non-coding RNA of Diospyros lotus (date-plum), 4513 nucleotides long. RefSeq lists it as uncharacterized. NCBI's taxonomy places the organism in Eukaryota, Viridiplantae, Streptophyta, Magnoliopsida, Ericales, Ebenaceae. The record is from RefSeq and is a predicted model, not a curated record. The transcript has 3 exons.
CUUGUUCAUUGCUACGGCUUUCAUCCCAACCCUUUUCUUGGUAUCUCGUAUAAUACACAGAUACUGAGAAAUUUAUAGGCUGUGUCAUAUAUCCUUGCUUGGUUCUCACUGUCUGCUUUAUCUGAUGUGUUGAAACUGAAUUUUCCACUCCCACAAAAAGCAAGUGCUCGACUUGCUGUGGAAUUGGGAUCACAACUGGGUUUGAUUGAGCAAUUGUUCAAUGGUCGAUACUCGAUUCCGGUUCAAGAAGCCCGUGAUGAAUUGCCUUGCCUCACAGUUUCACUGUAGCCAACCCCUGCAUUUCAGGGCACCCUAAUGUAUUUGCUUUUAAGGGUUAUCAUCUCUUGUGGCUUAUAAUUUCAUACAAGUGUUCCUGGACCUUCUGAUUGUCAUAGUCGUGCUUAAUAUUCCUUUCGCUUUACUAAUUAUGUUGCAUAUACCUUUUAUGGUUUUAUUUCCACCAUUCCCAUGUCUAGGUUGUAAGGUACUUAUGGACUGGCUUUUGCAUACAGAAUUUGAAAUUGAUCAACUUAUGAGGCUAGUGAUUUGUAAAAGCCAAGGACUGCGACUUUUAUCCCGCUACAGUGAGUUAAUGGGCAGGCUGGUGUGUGACAAGAGAUGCUGCGUUGCUGGAACUGGCCUUCUUGGUUCAUCCUUAAUUAUAAUCUUGGUAGAAUCAAACCAACCUUUGUAUUGUCAGUUGUUGCAAAUAGGAAAUAUCUGAAGAAAGUUUUCUUAUUCACAUAGGCGACUCAUAAGUUUUGUCAAAUACUCAUCUCAUUCCUUCUUUCUUUUAUCUGGGUUCCUACAUUCUAAACAUGCGUAAUGGGCCGGGAAACUCGUUUUUCUUGUAUUACCUUGGAUAUAGUUGUGCUCUAUUAAGGGUGUCAAUUUGCUUCUUUGUGUUUUGGUAGCAUGUGUAUGUUGCCAUGCAGAACCGAUCCACUGUUGCCUGACAUGCCUGUUGUGUAACCAGUGAUGCCUUCUAAAAACUGACAGGUGCUUGACUUGUAUACUUUAUAUGCUAUACCUAUUUGGUUCAUCUCAUACGUGACAUUUCAUAGACUAAGAAUAAAUCCUGUUUAUAUACAUGUGGAACUUUCGGAUUAAUGACCUUAAUCAUGCUAAUGGAAUCUAUUUUCUUCAAUAGUAUAUGCUAGAUAUGAAGUUCUGGUCGCAAUUGUAGAUUUUUGAGUGGGAUGGAUCCUGAUUUCACACCUAUAUCCAAUGUUGCUAUUCUCCUCUUUAGCUUCAUACAUCAUUAUUAUUUGCUUUAUAUGAGCAAGGUCCACAUUUUUUUUCCUUUUUUGGUAACUUUCCCAACAUAGAACAGAUAACAAAGUGGCAAGGGGGUUGGACUGAGUUUUGGCUUUGGUAAUUGUUAUGCAGAUAAAGGAGAGCAUUCAAUUUUAGUAAGCAUGCACAAAAGGUGCUAUAAACUAUAGGAGGGACACAAGUUCAUUUAGGAACUUCCAUCACAUUUCAGCUGUUCAGAGUGCCUCUGCGAGGUAAUCUUGUUCCUAUCAUAACUUUCAUUUCUUAUUUCCAGUAUAAUGCUUCUGGAUAUGCAUCUCUCGUUUGUACAUCUCUGAAUGGAUGCCUGUUCAAUCUGAUUUUUAUCAACUUCCUAUUCCUUCCACUUUAUCAACCGGGAUGUUGAAGAUUCUUGUCGUUUGAUGUAUCAGCUGUCAAAUAACCUUUGUCUAAUGAGGUUAAGAUGGCCAAACCUAUAUAAAAAAUAAAAAAAUUAGUUCUGACUUGUAGUUGAUACACGUUGACAUUGUACAUCAAUACACAACUACUUGAAUCAAAAUUUUGGCUGUGCAGUAUAGCCAUUUUUUCCUUGUUUAUCCUUUCUGAAAGUCUGGGAAAAACAAUGUAAGCCCGGUAAUUCUUUCUUCUGCCUGGAAAUUUGCUUAAACUGGUGCAGUGCAGUGGAUAAUGCUGGAUGGGGUUGUGUGCUUGCUGCUGGUGUCAAUUAAAAUGGUGGUACAUCUCAAUCUGUUUGUCUUUUCUUUUCCCCUCUUAUUUGUUUCAACUUUCCUCCCGCUCUUAUAUCCAUGCUUUGCUUUAGUUAUUACAAUGCACAGAGUUUGUUGCAGUUUGCUUUUCCAAAGAUCAAAUUGGGAACUGUACAUAUACAAGCAACAUAAAUUCCUCAUUGCAUCCUAUGAGGAGUCCUAAUUUAAAUAUGUGAAGUGAUUCCAUACUGCUUGCUUGCAGGGUAUUGUUCAUUGGCAUGGAGUAGACAUGUUUUUCCUGUUUUGUGUACUUAUUUGCAAAAAUAUACAUACAUCCGCCACUGUCUUAAUAUCACCUGCCAUUUCUUGCUAUCCUUGCCAAUGAAUUUGAAAGUUUUUUUCUUUAUUUGGCUAUAUUGCACACAAUGAAUUACUUAUGUAGGAGAAUAUGAUGAAUUAGAACUUAAAGGAACUGAAAAAUGGAAAUCUUGUUAAGGUGAUUGUGACACAUUCCUUGAUUAACACUACCUACGCAAAUAUAUUAUUUAACUUGCUAGAUAUUUCAGAUAUUGUUGGAAACAUUCAUAUUUCAUAGACCGCGAGCCAUUUGUUAGCGUAAGGGAGUACAAUAAUGAAUGCCCUUUUUAGUUCCGGAGGAGGAUAGAUUAUGGGCUGUAUCGAUGUAAAUGCAAGAAUUAGGCCUUCCAUAGGACCACCAAUGAGCAUGCAACUGAUGGGUUAUGGAACUAUCAAAAAACUUUCCCAUGAAAUCUACCUAGGAUCUCUUGUUCUCUUUCUUUGGUCCAAAUGACUAACUUGUUCAAAGAUUUUGCAAGCAUUUAUUCUUAUUUGCUCUUCUUUCCUUACAGCCAAAAAGAGUGGUAACGAGUAGUGUUUUAAAUUUAAUUACCCCUGAAUCCCAACUGAAGUGAAAAUUCCUUGAUUUUGAGCUCAUAAUUUGUUGACCUAUUUUUUAAUUUUCUUGAAUUUUGGGUGGUAUUUUAAUAUGAUAGCUUCUGCUGCAUCUUACGGGGUCUUCUGAUCCUUGUCUUUUGCUGUGUGUUCAACACGCAGAAUAUAGCAUACUGUGAAGGAGUUCAGACAGAUGAAAGUUGUAAGAAUCAGGAUAGAGCUGGGCUGAGCCCUGAGGCGCGACAACAGAAUACAAGUCACAGAACAAUGUCAGGAACACUCCCGAGCCUGACUUGUGAUUUUCAUGAGAACAGAAUUGAGAGAAUAGGAGAAAUAGAGAGAAAUGGGGAAGGAUCAGACAGAAUGAAGGAAGAAAACAGAGAAAGAUGAAGGAGAAAUAGGCAGGAAGUAAGGAGAAAUAGACAGAUCCGAGAGAGAGAGAGAAGGGAGAAUUGCAGAGAGAAGGAAUACUUUUAUAAAAUUGGCCAAGAGGUGUACAGCUUUAUAUAUAAGCUGUUCACACCUUAUACGGGGCAGUUUUCACUCCUCCAUUAGAGGUUUCCCUCGUACUGAAUUCAAUAUGAUCAAACGCCUGUUUGCUAUGUUGUGUUGGUUAUGCCAACCAAGUAAAUUGGAGGCUGAAUUCAGGACAGAUUGUUGGAUAGCUGAGUUCCUGCUAAAUUAACUUGGAAGUUUUAACAUAUAUGCAGCCAUGAAACUGGAUCAAUCUAUAAUUUGUUAAUAAACUGGGGAUUGUCCCAGCCAUUAUGCUUGCAUUAUUGUGCUUGCACUGAUGUUGAAAGCGAAAUGGGAAACUUUUAUUGGCGUCGAAGUCUUUCUGCUAACUGAUUGCUCUUUACGAACACCUGAUGAAACUCAACAUGUAUAAGUGUAAUCGCAUACUACUGCAUAUGUAAAUCUGUACCUGACAGAUGAUCCAUUGUCUGUAAAUGAAAGACCGGAAGGCGAAGCCACUACUCACUUUCUACCGGGAGAAAAUACCAAGAGUCUGUAUAUCAAUGGGGGCAACACAAGCCUCCCUAUCUAUAGGCAGUGAGCAGACUCUUCAUCGGUCUUAAGCAAUUGUUCAAUAUCCUCACUUAUUCAACAGAUAGAGUCGAAUGAAGAAGAGUCACAAACCUUACGAGCUAUCUGUCCAUUGUGGACAGUUCAUAAGUACAAAAUACGUAAACACAGUGUUUAUGUUUGUCCAAAAAAGAUAUCAACACCGCCAUCACCAGCUUUAAUUUCAUUAGAUAUGUAAAGUCAAAUCAUACAAAUGGUUGCUUUUAUAUUCAUACCUUCAAUAUUAUCUUACCUUAUGUAAAACUAUUAUAAUUAGCUUUUGGUUUCAAUAUAGUCUCCCCUUUUAAUUAUAAUAACAGUCUUAACAACCCUCCUCUCCUCCAGCCUGCCUGAUAUCAUAUUUGCCUUAUUAAGGUACCCUAGCUAGCCCAUCGUUAAAACUUUUCAUAAGCAGAACCCGACAAUCGCAAGAGAUGAACUUUACUUUCUGAUUGGGAUCUAUAAACAAUUGCAAAGGCGGACGUGGGAAGGGGGGGGUGUCUGAGAUGGACUUGUCUGCAAUUGGACUUAAGUAUUUGGUAAGAGUAGAGCAGCGGUUUUGGUUUGGGUACUGA